Molecule: small RNA, 117 nt
Filed under: Pseudomonas syringae
Lineage: Bacteria; Pseudomonadati; Pseudomonadota; Gammaproteobacteria; Pseudomonadales; Pseudomonadaceae
Also listed under: 1 other name
Description: Pseudomon-1 RNA
Rfam family: Pseudomon-1/ErsA RNA
About the family: Functions to regulate the AlgC enzyme. Based on this information, the new name ErsA for the RNA was adopted.
Source: RNAcentral
GUGCUCCUAGUUGUGUUAAGUGUUGGCAUAUAUCCGGACCCCACCCUAAGGUCUGGACCUUAAGCCCCGGAACUUCCUUCUCCCCAUGCGAAGUCCGGGGUCUUUUUUUGCCUGCGA